CACGCACGCACCUUUCCUCAAUUUCAUUGGCGAUUCUGACCUGCUGUGAAAAAGAGGCGGAUGGAGGCCUCAUUUCCCGUCCCAGGCCAGUGAACUCAAACAGUGAGCAGCUCUGUCCCAUUGACAGGCUGUGAUGAAGUGGCCUUUAAGACGACUGACCAGCGCACACGAUGGAUGGGAACACAUAUGCAUGUGUGCAGGCGGGGCACCUGUACUUCGUCUGCCAUGUGACAUCGCCCUGCUGAGCUUGUCGACGGGAAGAAAGCGGCAGCCUCGUCUCAUAUGGGGAAUCAAACCGUACCAGAAUUCUGAUCUGACUUGGACCACAUCCCAGAAAGCAGCAGAGUUAAUAGC
This is a long non-coding RNA of Gasterosteus aculeatus aculeatus (three-spined stickleback), 354 nucleotides long. The record is from Ensembl. Lineage: Eukaryota; Metazoa; Chordata; Actinopteri; Perciformes; Gasterosteidae.